CUUUCUGGGGUGCGAUUGACGCUGAGGCUCGAAAGUGCGGGUAUCGAACAGGAUUAGAUACCCUGGUAGUCCGCACAGUAAACGAUGGACGCUCGUCAUCGGCGACAGACAGUCGGUGACUUAGGGAAACCGUUAAGCGUCCCACCUGGGGAGUACGCCGGCAACGGUGAAACUCAAAGGAAUUGACGGGGGCCCGCACAAGCGGAGGAACAUGUGGUUUAAUUCGAUGAUACGCGAGGAACCUUACCCGGGCUUGAACUGCACAGGAAUGCGGGAGAGAUCCCGCCGCCCCUCGGGGCCUGUGCGGAGGUGCUGCAUGGUUGUCGUCAGCUCGUGCCGUGAGGUGUCGGCUUAAGUGCCAUAACGAGCGCAACCCCUGCCGUCAGUUGCCAUCACGUAAUGGUGGGCACUCUGUCGGGACUGCCAUCGCAAGAUGUGAGGAGGGUGGGGAUGACGUCAAAUCAGCACGGCCCUUACGUCCGGGGCUACACACGUGUUACAAUGGGGGGCACAGCGUGUUGCCGGCAGGCGACUGCCGGCGGAUCAUGAAAUCCCCUCUCAGUUCGGAUCGGAGUCUGCAACCCGACUCCGUGAAGCUGG
RNAcentral lists this ribosomal RNA (600 nucleotides) under uncultured bacterium. RNAcentral's name for it is "bacterial SSU rRNA". It matches the Rfam family "Bacterial small subunit ribosomal RNA", at positions 725 to 1329 of the family's 1533-position model. The record is from RNAcentral.